UUGUUUUAACGCGAAGAACCUUACCCGGUUCUUGACAUUUUUUGCUAAACCAAGAAGAUUGGGCGUUCCCUUCGGGGACGGAAUGACAGGUGGUGCAUGGUUGUCGUCAGCUCGUGUCGUGAGAUGUUGGGUUAAGUCCCGCAACGAGCGCAACCCUUAUUGUCAGUUGCCAGCAUUUAGUUGGGCACUCUGGCGAGACUGCCGGUGACAAACCGGAGGAAGGUGGGGAUGACGUCAAAUCAUCAUGCCCCUUAUGACCUGGGCUACACACGUGCUACAAUGGACGGUACAACGAGUCGCGAAACCGCGAGGUCAAGCUAAUCUCUUAAAGCCGUUCUCAGUUCGGAUUGUAGGCUGCAACUCGCCUACAUGAAGUUGGAAUCGCUAGUAAUCGUGGAUCAGC
RNAcentral lists this ribosomal RNA (403 nucleotides) under uncultured bacterium. Its description in RNAcentral is "bacterial SSU rRNA". It matches the Rfam family "Bacterial small subunit ribosomal RNA", at positions 951 to 1353 of the family's 1533-position model. The record is from RNAcentral.